CUAUGCGCCUUGCCAGCCCGCUCAGGUGUGCCAGCCGCCGCGGUAAUACGGAGGAUCCGAGCGCUAUCCGGAUUUAUUGGGUUUAAAGGGUGCGUAGGCGGUUUGAUAAGUUAGAGGUGAAAUGUCGGGGCUCAACCCGAAACUGCCUCUAAUACUGUUGGACUAGAGAAUAGUUGCGGUAGGCGGAAUGUAUGGUGUAGCGGUGAAAUGCUUAGAGAUCAUACAGAACACCGAUUGCGAAGGCAGCUUACCAAACUAUAUCUGACGUUGAGGCACGAAAGCGUGGGUAGCAAACAGG
RNAcentral lists this ribosomal RNA (298 nucleotides) under uncultured bacterium. RNAcentral describes it as "partial 16S ribosomal RNA". It matches the Rfam family "Bacterial small subunit ribosomal RNA", at positions 475 to 776 of the family's 1533-position model. The record is from RNAcentral.